GCCCGUAUAGCUCAGUGGUAGAGCGCAUCACUCGUAAAUCUUCCCGACCUCGGGAAAGUGCAACUACGAUAUGAUGAGGUCUGCGGUUCAAUCCCGCAUGGGGGCA
Pseudoneurospora amorphoporcata is the source of this 106-nucleotide non-coding RNA. The record is from the annotation of a GenBank genome assembly. NCBI's taxonomy places the organism in Eukaryota, Fungi, Ascomycota, Sordariomycetes, Sordariales, Sordariaceae.